ACACCCUAGUUUAAGGAAAGGAAAAGAAAACUCUACUGUCUAUGCCAAGAGGUCGAAAGGCCAUGAGAUAAAUAAAAUUAGAAUGAUAUAAUUAAAUAAGAUAACACUGUAUUAAAGUAUAAUAAAUAAGCUCAAAAAUACGAAAAAUAUAAUUAAUAACUGUAAACUGUAAAAAAUAAAAGUUCAAUCAUUAAGUUCAUCUAAAAAACAAAAACCAUUGUGCUAACAAAGACUGAGACGCCAUCAAAAUCAUCAGAGAAAGGCUAGAUUCAAAUACUCUGUUAUAUAUACAAGCUCCCUUUGCUCCAGCCAAGAAGAUAAUCGCAUAUAAGAUCAAUUUUACUCACUAACCAUGCCAACAAUAGAAUUUCUUGCUGAGAAGGGGAAAAAUAAAUAAAUUAAUUUUCUGAGCAGAAGAUUAAUAUAAUAUUUUUCUUAAAAUACUUUAUGAAAUCUUAAACAUGGAGAUCUUACCUUCAAAAUCUGUAGAAAGAAUUUAGAUAUUGACAUUAUGUACAAGUACAGCAAAACCAACCCUAUUGUUGAAGCCUCAGCGGACUCCACAAUACGAUAUACGGACGUUUAGGGACCCAAUACAGAAAUCCAACAACAGGUCCUGUUUUGAGGAAGAACUGCAAAUCAACAAACUACAAGUUUCAAUCACAUACAUUUGCACGACAAUGGUAAGGAUGAUUUCAAACCGG
RNAcentral lists this long non-coding RNA (704 nucleotides) under Phaseolus vulgaris (common bean). RNAcentral describes it as "long non-coding RNA (PVUL_LNC005290)". Lineage: Eukaryota; Viridiplantae; Streptophyta; Magnoliopsida; Fabales; Fabaceae. The record is from RNAcentral.